This 876-nucleotide ribosomal RNA is filed under the name uncultured Planctomycetota bacterium. RNAcentral's name for it is "bacterial SSU rRNA". It matches the Rfam family "Bacterial small subunit ribosomal RNA", at positions 28 to 896 of the family's 1533-position model. Lineage: Bacteria; Pseudomonadati; Planctomycetota. The record is from RNAcentral.
AACGAACGCUGGCGGCGUGGCUAAGACAUGCAAGUCAAACGGUCCAGUAAUUUAUUAUUGGAUAGUGGCGAAAGGGUUAGUAAUGGAUAGGUAACGUGCCCUCCGCUUCGGAAUAGCGUCGGUUGCUUCGGCAACCUUCCGAAAGGGGCAAUAAUACCGAAUAAUAUUACUUGUCGAUGGGCAAGUAAUCAAAGAUUUAUCGGCAGAGGAGCGGCCUAUCUCUUAUCAGCUUGUUGGUGAGGUAAUGGCUCACCAAGGCUAUGACGGGUAGCGGGACUGAGAGGUUGACCCGCAACAUCGGGACUGAGACACUGCCCGGACCUCCACGGAGGGCUGCAGUAACGAAUAUUGCGCAAUGGGCCAAAGCCUGACGCAGCGACGCCGCGUGCGGGAGGAAGUCCCUCGGGAUGUAAACCGCUGUCAGGGAUAAGAAAGUCCGCUUCGGCGGAUUGAUCCGUCCCAAAGGAAGUCACGGCUAACUUCGUGCCAGCAGCCGCGGUAAGACGAAGGUGGCAAGCGUUGUUCGGUAUCACUGGGCUUAAAGGGUGUGUAGGCCGAAAGGUAAGCGUCCUGUGAAAGCCCCCGGCUCAACCGGGGAACUGCGAGACGUACUGCCUUUCUUGAGGCAAGUAGGGGUGCACGGAACUCUUGGUGGAGCGGUGGAAUGCGUAGAUAUCAAGAGGAACGCCGGUGGAGAAAUCGGUGCACUGGGCUUGUCCUGACGCUGAGACACGAAAGCGUGGGGAGCGAACGGGAUUAGAUACCCCGGUAGUCCACGCCGUAAACGAUGUCUACUAGGUUGUGGUGGUUCUGACGCCAGCACGGCCGAAGCAAAAGUGUUAAGUAGACCGCCUGGGGAGUACGGCCGCAAGGCUA